Molecule: long non-coding RNA, 1903 nt
Organism: Acinonyx jubatus (cheetah)
Lineage: Eukaryota; Metazoa; Chordata; Mammalia; Carnivora; Felidae
Exons: 3
Source: RefSeq, a predicted model, not a curated record
CCCAGCUAUGAUUGUGUAUAGGUCCAGGGAGAAUAAAAGGGGCUGGGUGUCAGUUGAAAGGUCUGUUUCACUAGACUCAGUAAUGAUUUGGGACUCCAACGUCUCUGCUGUGGAAUGCUUCAUUUUACAACUGAACAUAACAUACUUCACCAGUGCAGAGGCAUUAGCGUAGUGGCAGUAGGAAUGCUGGCUUUUGCCACCAUAGGCCACUGGACAUGGUGCCAUUAAAAUAAAGACAAAACAGUUUUGGAGGCCAGAAGCUGGGAAAUCUCCAUCAUGUUAGUGAUCCUGGUUGUGACAUCAGCAAAUCUUAAGAGUAGCUGGUAUUCAAUAAAUAGUGGUGAUAGAGAUGGCCUGAUUCUAAGGCCACCAAGAGCUGUCUCUUCUUAGGGCAGAUCCAUCUUCUUGGGGCAGCAUCUCCAUAGAAUUGUUAAGGCUGGUGGUGGCUGUGGAAUCCUGAAUUAGUUAAAAGAAUUUAAUUACAAGUUAACUUCUUUACCAAUUUAUUUAUCAUAGUCCUAAGUUUUUGCAGGUGCUGGACACGUAGGAAUGAAAUGAAUUUUCUUUUCUUAUGGAGCUAUAAUUUUAGGAGGAAGAAACAGAAAAUAAAUAGAUGAGUAAAUAAAUAAUGUAAUUUCAGGUGUUUACACCCAGGAUGCAAAAGAACGAAAUCCAGGGUCACUUCUAGGUUUUGGAGAACGAUUAUGCUGUUUACUGAAACACAGAGUGCUGGGGUUUCAGUGGGCAAAAUCAAUGUUUGAUUUUGGGUAAGUAAAUUUUGAGACAUUGACUUGCAUGGAAACAUUGAUUAACCAGUUGGAUAAAGGAUUAACCAGUUGGAUCACAGCAAUGAAUCUCCACUGCAGAAAGCCUGAAAUUAGGGCUAAGAACAUUGGUAGUGCAGCCUGGAGCAGUAAGUAAAGGCUGACAGCCAGCGGCUCCCUGGACUGACUUGUAGUCCUUAUAUCCCGUCUAGGGGUAUUCCCACAUAUGUUCAAGGAUGUUUGCUCUGAAAGGAAAGGAGCUGGAAUUGUUUGAGGAGCACGUGGAAACUCGAAGGGAGCAAGAUUUGAGUGCUAACUCUCAUGUGAUCUCAUUGAUACCUACAAAUUAGUAAGGUAUAGUGUGUUCUGGUAAUAGAUGCAUAUGCAAAGUGUUGCGUGUAAUUAUGUAACGAAGUGUCCCAGUGCAAUUGUGUGUUUUCACUGUAUGAGUAAUUCACAACAUUUAUUACUGUCUCCAGGUUAGUGAUGUUAUAUUAGUGGAGACAGUGUGGUAUAAUAGGAGAGUACUGGAUUUGGAGCCAAAGUGAGGUAAUUCUCCUUGAAUGAAGAACAUGUUGCCUCAGCUGCUGGAUGUCCUAUUGGCAGACAGUCUUCAGCGGUCACCACCUUCAGGGAUUGCUUCCACUGCAGACAAGCAUGUUUGCUAAGCUCACAACCGUUCCUGGGGUGGCCCACAUCCAAAGUGGAGAGACUGUUUACAGACCACAGAGAGAGCUAGGCCUCAGCAGCCCCAACACUUCUCAUGCUGGAUGUUUGAGUCUUCCCAGCCCAGGCAUCAAAUAUAUUCCAAGAUUUUCCCCAAAUCUUCAUUAAUGCAGCCUGCCAAUUAUUCCAGUUCCUGCUCCUUCCUUGGCUUUCUGGGCACCUCUGGGAUUGCACUUCCUGAGCCCCUUAUGGUAACAGUUGUGGUAAAUUGUCAUCUCUACUCAACUAUGGACUCCUUAGGGACAGACUCACAUCUUAUUCAUCUUUGUAUCCCAACACUUAACAUACUUCUUGGCAUAAGGUAGGCAUUCUAUAAAUGCCUUUUGAAUUCAUUCAUUCAUCCAUCCAUUAACAAAGUUAUCACAUUAUCUUUUGUCAUUGGUUGGUGCUUGGUUUACAGUAAGGAACACACA